This 62-nucleotide transfer RNA is filed under the name Lophops carinata. RNAcentral's name for it is "tRNA-Glu". The record is from RNAcentral. Lineage: Eukaryota; Metazoa; Arthropoda; Insecta; Hemiptera; Lophopidae.
AUUUAUAUAGUUUAAUAAAACAUUAUAUUUUCAAUAUAAAAAUAAACAAAGUUUUAUAAAUA